ACUGUUCAGCCAGAGUGGCGAACUACGGACCCAGACCUAGGCUUCCCAAACUCUGAUGGGUUUGAAAUCCCCUGGGAUCUUGUUAAAAUGCAGGCCUCCAUUCAGUAGGUCUAGGGAGGGGCCUGAGAGUGCGUAUUUCUAACAAGCUCCCCGGUGAUGCUACCGCUGCUGGGCUGAAGGUGACAUUUGGAGCCACUCAACACCCGCUGGCCCUUUACCUCUCCUCUUGUGUGGAAAUAGAGAGGGCGUGGGCGCUGCAGCAGAUGGACAGGGGUUUGAAUCCCCCCUCUGCCACUCGCUAGUUAGGCGGAAUUGGGCACAGCUCUUUGUGUAUAAAAUGGGGUGGGGGUGGGGAGCAACACUCACUGCACGUUUCUAGUGAGGAGGAGGCGAGAUCUUGCCUGGAAGAUUCCUGGUGCCCUGAGUCCUUGGUGAAGGUCAGCUGUAUUGGAUGCUUUCGCUCUCUAGUGGCCCUCUUGGCUGAGUUGGCCAGGGAAUGACAGAAGCAGAGGAAGGAACCUUCCAGGCCCCCUCCUUUCCCCUCUCAUAGGAAAACUAGGCUGAAAACCAUCACACUCCACUGCCUCCCCGGGGGCUGGAAGGGAAGGGCAGUAUUGCUGUGUGUGGGAGCAGAGGGAUGGGGGACCAAGAGCCCUGAGCGUCCCUGAGGAGGUUAGUGGGAUUCUGGGGGGGCCUGAAGCCUGGAGAAAACAGGUCUCCUGGGGCAGACGCUGAGGGUUACAGGGGGACCUGGCAGAUGCUAAGAGCCACAGAAGGCCAGAGAGUAGGAGGCCACCUGGUCAGGACCACAGUGGACACAAGGAAAAGGGGUGGAAGUAGGAGAGGGGACUGACAGUGUGUGAGGAGUCUCAGUUCCUCCUCGGAAAUGUUGUAGCAGAGCAUUAAUUGUACCGAUUUCCUGGAAGCCAUCUGAGGCUGAGUCUCACCCCUCCUGCUCACUAGUUGCGUGGCCUUGGGCAAGGAGACUUAAGCUCUCCGGUCCUCAAUUUCUCCAUCUGUAAAAUAGAGUUAUUAUCACUGGUAACUCACAGGAUGCUGUGAGGACUAAACAAGGCAAUCUUGCAAAGCCCUCAAGUCAGCAGGUGACACACAGUGAGCCUCCUAUAGGUGAUGAUGAUGAUGAUUCCCAUUGCACAGAUGGGCAACCUAAGGCUCAGAGGGCUUAAGUAACACCCAGGUCUGUGCUCGCCUCUCUGUCACGAAGGUGGAAAAGUGCCUCUUAGGCUCUCAUUAGAUCUGGACACACCUUUUAACCAGUAUUCUGAGUUGGCGUAGGGCCGAUCGUGCAUGCUGGUGGCGAAGCCCAUUCUUGGUCUGGUUCUUCUGAGGCUCCAGCCAGAAUAUGUCUCAUUUAGUGGCUCAGUGAAGGGGUUGGAAGUCAGAGGCUCUGGAUGAAAGCUAGCUGCCUUCCUCAGGACUGGUACCGGGGCCACGUGUCAUGAGAUUGUGUGUGAUAUAAGAUGUGCGAAGGUUCUGUUAGGAUCUGUCCAAAUACCAGGCACAGUUAGGAUUUUUUCUUAUUAAUGCACAUGAGAUUGUAAGACCACACUUUCUUUUAAAUCACAGUGUAGCUCUGAUGAACAGCUCAGUAGGCAGGGUUUUUUGAAAAACAAACUUUCUUCCACUCGGAGCUCAUGGACAUGGAGCAAGGGACCUGGAGCUGAGAAGUGGAGCUCUGGUCCUAGGGCCACCUCUCUGGGUUCCCAAAGUCCCCUUGGAAUGCUGUAACCCCGCAUUGUUCUAGAAUCAUUGCUUUUCAUGUCCUUCUCCCCACCCCUAGACAGUCAGCCCUUUGAAGGCAAGGACUAUGUCCUAUUCCACCUUGAAUUCUCAUCACCAAGCGGAACGCCUGACACCUAAUCUAGUCAGUGCUUACUAAGUGCUCAUUAUCAAUGCAAGAAUAACAGAGCUAUGGAACCUGGCAGCCACCUCUUUUCUUUGGGCCUCAGUCUUCUCAUGCAGAACUUGGGAUUGGACUAAAUUGGAUCUCCUAGGCUGCCUCUGACUCUAACAAUUCUCUGAUUUAAAUUAUUCUUCAUCUGGAUGUAAUCCACCUUGCUUUUCCAUCCCAGGCUCUGUUCUCACUCAUGGCUGAUGGGCAAAGGCGACUAAGGAGGCACGGCUCCGUGAGGAUGUCCUUACAACUUUGCAACCCCCAAGGAAAAAGAGAUGUGGAUUUUAUGGAAUAGAUGCUAUGUGGUGGAAUCCUGAGUCACGGCCAAACAGCAAAUGCCAGCAAGAGUAGAGUAGGAGGCAUUUCUGUGUACACUUUG
Molecule: long non-coding RNA, 2294 nt
Filed under: Homo sapiens (human)
Lineage: Eukaryota; Metazoa; Chordata; Mammalia; Primates; Hominidae
Description: HSALNT0348750
Source: RNAcentral